Nicotiana tabacum (common tobacco) is the source of this 208-nucleotide non-coding RNA. Lineage: Eukaryota; Viridiplantae; Streptophyta; Magnoliopsida; Solanales; Solanaceae. The record is from RefSeq and is a predicted model, not a curated record.
UGAUAGCAGUGAAGUAGACAAGCAAAGGAUGCUCCUAAGAUUAUCAAGAAACGUUUAGGGAGUAAAAAUCCGAAAAUACAGCUCCUUACCCUAUUUGUUCUCGAGACCCUGAGCAAAAAUUGUGGAGAGAAUGUGUUUCAGCAAAUUGUGGAGCGGGACAUUUUAAAGGACAUGGUCAAAAUUGUGAAGAAGAAGGUAAACAACUUCC